This 498-nucleotide ribosomal RNA is filed under the name uncultured bacterium. RNAcentral's name for it is "partial 16S ribosomal RNA". It matches the Rfam family "Bacterial small subunit ribosomal RNA", at positions 30 to 523 of the family's 1533-position model. The record is from RNAcentral.
AUUGAACGCUGGCGGCAUGCCUUACACAUGCAAGUCGAACGGUAACAGGUCUUCGGAUGCUGACGAGUGGCGAACGGGUGAGUAAUACAUCGGAACGUGCCCAGGCGUGGGGGAUAACGAGGCGAAAGCUUUGCUAAUACCGCAUACGAUCUAAGGAUGAAAGCAGGGGACCGAAAGGCCUUGCGCGGCUGGCGCGGCCGAUGGCAGAUUAGGUAGUUGGUGGGAUAAAAGCUUACCAAGCCGACGAUCUGUAGCUGGUCUGAGAGGACGACCAGCCACACUGGGACUGAGACACGGCCCAGACUCCUACGGGAGGCAGCAGUGGGGAAUUUUGGACAAUGGGCGAAAGCCUGAUCCAGCAAUGCCGCGUGCAGGAUGAAGGCCUUCGGGUUGUAAACUGCUUUUGUACGGAACGAAAAGGCUCUGGCUAAUACCUGGGGCACAUGACGGUACCGUAAGAAUAAGCACCGGCUAACUACGUGCCAGCCGCCGCAGUAA